AUAGAAAAGUAGUUGUCUUUUAUUGCCUGUUUCUUACUUGGCUCAUUCCUUUAAAUAUUUGAAUUAAAGAGCUUCCGGGAUACUUAGAGAAGGCUUGGGACUCCAAGCAUGUUGAGCCUGAAACCUACUGGCAGAAUGAAUACCUAGAAGUCUUUGCUGAAGUCUGUCAAAGCAGCAUGGCUGGGGUUGGAGCUGCUGCUAAUCAGUUCAUUAGCCAAAAUGUUACUGCUUCUGUUCUGUGGCUGUGGAACCUCAUCUUGCAGUGUUUAGUCCCGUGCUGCUGGUUCUGCGAUGACUCCCAGUACGGAAAUUCUCCAAGAAGAUGGUUUGAAGAAACCUCCAUCUUUCUAAAACUUGCCAGGAGAUCAGACAGACUGGGGCUAGGAAUUUUCGAUGGACAACUUUUUCCUCUGAGUUUGUUAUUUUUUUCCACUUUCUUGCUUAUGUUAGCUGGCCAUACCCUUUGCACUUACGGUGCAGUGUAGGAUCCAGCUUAUUUUCUUGGAUUGCUCUUUCACUAAAGUCUAACGUUUUUUGCCCUGUAACAUACAGGUUUCUUACUUGUGUGAGUGACUUGUUAUCAAGUUGCUGGGGAAGAAGGCACCUCCCUCUAUAUAGAAAACAUUCUGAAGGCAUUAAUUCUGACAAGGCAUUGCAACAGUGAGACACAGAGAUAAAUUUCACACUUCAGUGUGAAAACUAACUUCUACUGUACAGACUUAGGUCAGAGUAUAGAUCAGUGAUGAGGUACAGACUUUUACUCUUUUGCACCAUUUCCUUGCAAGCGCAGAACUAGAGGUCAGGUUGCAGAAUUCAGUCUAUUUUAGGUGUCCCAUGACAUGGCUGAAUCCCUUGUAUUGAGUUAGAACAAUCUUUUUCUCCAAGUCAGGUGAACAAGAACAUCAUAUUUUUAAAAGAUCAUUCUACAGACAGUUUGAUACUUAAAAGGUGGGGACCAGACUUUCCAGGAUGUUAUGGUGGCCACAGCUUGGAAUGCUAUUUUGAUUGCCUAUUUAUUUUAUUUUUUUUAAGCUGAUUUCUCAGCCUUACCCAUCUCUGUUUUCUCUGCUUGUAGAUCAGAAGAUAUUUUUUGUAAAACUGAAGGUGUUCAAGAGUGUAUUCUUGGACUAAAAUGGCUGGAUGUAGACUUUGCUUCUUUAUUUGUCUGUAAAGUAUUUGCGGUGCCGCGAGUAUAACCUUGGUACAUUUUGAAAGAGCCAUCCCUAAGGUUUUGAGUAUUUGCAACUCUCUAAAUACUGUAUCGAUAUGAAGAGAAAUGAAUGUGCUGAUCCUUCUGUGCUUUAUGGGAUUAUCUCAUUUAUUUAAAUGGCACUUUUGGUUAGAUAUAAACUUGUAUGACCAGGUCCUUAACUUCUAAGUUUUGCCCUGCAGAUAUUCUUGGACUGUAUUGUUAUGAUAGUCCUACAUGAGCUGAGAUGCUUUAAGCAUUUAUAAAUCUUUAAAAUGAGCUCACUAAGCUGGUUCUGCUACAGAAGACAUGACCUUUCUGGUAGCUCAUAAAACCCUUGGAGAUGUGCUAGCAUGCUGUUGGCAGGCUGAACAUAGUCUUUGGGAGUAUUAUAUUACACCAGCAGUAAAAUCCAUCUAAGGCCUUACUGCCAUGCUGGUUCAAUACCAGCUAUAUUCAUAAGGAGGAUACACGGUACGGACUGGAACAUGACUCUUUGGUACUGCACCAUGAUUUGUGGUUUUAUCUUUGCAUUAUCUAGUGUAUGCAUCUUGAGUUUUAAACUGCAGCUGAAGGAGGCUGUACAGGGGCUGAAGAAAGCCAUCCUUCCUCUGUCUCAAAAUAGUACUUUGUUCAAAAGAAAAAGUUGAGACACGGGAGCUCUGCGAAGUGGGUUAUUGCUGUUCAGUGAUUCCUGUGCACUCUUUCAGACUUCGUCAUACUGAGGGCACUGUUUCACCAUCGGUUGUCAGACAGUAAGGAUAAAGUCAUUUGGAAGAUUUAUUGUAAUUAGCUGUACACCUGUUCCGAAUAUUCUUCUCCUGUCUGUAAUACAGUUCCAGAACCUAGGCUACAUUUAGCAGAAUUCUCUAAGUGGACUGGAGUAUUGUGUUGGGCCAACGACUAUAUGCUAUUCAGGAGUUAUUUAACCAGGGACAGUGUGUCUCAGUACAUUAUUAGCAUGCUAUGCUCUUCAGCUGCUUUAAAGAGUGUACUUGUGCUGGUUUUGGCCAGGGUAGAGUUAAUUUUCUUCCUAGUGGCUAUUAUGGGGCUAUGUUUUGGAUUUGCACCGAAGACAGAGAUGAUAAUAUAGAGAUGUUUUUGUCAUUGCUGAGCAGGGCUUACACAGAGACAAGGGUUUUUCUGCUUUUCAUACUCCACACUGGUAAGGAAGUUGGGGGUGCAUGGGAAGCUGGGAGGGGGCACAGCCAGGACAGGUGACCUGAACUGGCCAAAGGGAUAUUCCAUACCAUGUGACAUCAUGUUCAGUACAUAAAGUGGGGGGAAGAAGGAGGAAGAGGGGGAGAUGUUUGGAAUGACGGUGUUUGUCUUCCCAAGUAAGCGUUACAUGUGGUGGGGCGCUGCUCUCCUGCAGAUGGCUGAACACCUGCCUGUCCAUGGGAAGCAGGGAAUUAAUUCCUUGCUUUGUUUUGCUUGUGCACACGGCUUUUGCUUUUCCUAUUAAACUGUCUUUAUCUCAACCCACAAGUUUUGUGGCUUUUGCCCUUUCCAUUCCCUCCCUGAUCCCACUGGUGUGGGAGUGAGCGAGCAGCUGUGUGGGGCUUGGUUGCUGGCUGGGGCUAAACCAUGACAGUACUGUUAAGAAACCAGUAUGUGAAAGAGAAUGUCUUUUUAAGUUUUUUGUUAUGUUACUUAACACCAAAGGUGUUAGCAAAGUCUUGUCAUGGAACGCAUCUGAACAUUUCCAUGCAUAUCUCUCUAGAGAGAAUGCAUAUUUGGAAAGGAAAUCUAAUAUGAAAAUUAGCAGUCAGCAGCUGAAUUUAAAUUUCUGUGAUGCAGUACACAGUAAGCAAUUAAAGUUGCUCAUUGUCUGUAAGCAGGACUAAGAUUUUGUUUCCUACUUCUUGUGAUGGUUAUGAAGCUGCAUAUGUGAAAAGAAUAUUGAGUUCUUAGAUGCAGAUUUUUGUUAAGUGUAUACUGUGAAAAUGGGAACUAAAAUAAUAAUCAAGUAGAAUAAUUGUCUUGCAAAAAGCAUGCAAAAUGUGAAAGUGAGGUGCUCUGAAACUGUUAGAAUAAAAUGGGGACUUAAGUAAUUUUGGAAUUAAGGUAAAGCUGCUCUUCAUGGGAAUUGAUUCUUUCUCCUUGUUCUGAACACAUUACUCCCGUUGCACCUGAAAUCUGUUCAGGUGUUGUAUGUGAAACAGUGUGGGUCAAAGUGCAGCAGCUAUUGUUUACGUCACGGUGUCCUGUGCAGUCAAAAGCUACCUUUCUGGUACAACAUAUAAAACAGCUCUUAGAAAAGCACAUGCUACUAAGACCAGUGCUUAUCUCAGGAGAUUCAGCUUUCUCUCAUCUCCUGUCAGUCUUUACUUUUUAUUUUUAAAUGUUCUCUGCUGCAGUGUGUUCUCAUUUUCAAACUAAGGGAACAUGAGUCUCUCUCCACAGAGAAAACUACUUAGCAGUAGACCUGGUUAGAAGCUUUUUAGAUGGAAAUCAGAGGGGGAUUUGUGUUCAUUUGUUUAGGACUCUUGUAGUCUGAACAGAAUGUGACAGCAGUCCCUGCAACAGAAAAUCGCAAUGGCUAUGGCAGUCUCCUGAGAAAUGAGAAAUCCAGGGUAGUGCCUGCUUUCCCAGAUUCCACCUAGAAUCUUAAUUUGAAUCAAUCUACUAGAAAAGAAGAUCAUAUUGCAGAAAUCAUAGUGAUCUGGUACCACUGUCAGUGCUGCUCAGACCCCACAGAGCCUUAGAUGGAGGCACCAGGUAGUCUGUCAGCGUUGCCUGGUUUGCUUUUGGUGCAUGCAUGUAUAGAAAACUGGGAGACAGGGUACUAGGAGCUAGACACUAGGGGCUGGUAUCUAUGAUUCGGUGCUCAUAGAAACAAACACUGACAGAGACAGACCAGAACAGGAAAAGCAUUAUGUACUGAAACAAGAAUCUUUAUUUCAGUGCAGUACAAAGAAAUGGGAGAUAUUUGCUUUGAAUGAAAGUGCUGAAACUGAAAAAUGAAGCACAUAAAAUACAUUUGUGUAUUAUUAGGAAUCCUUGGAUAUCAAAGCAGUGAAAAAUGAUAGCCAUGAUGCUGCAGCAUUAAAAUAAAUAUUUACAUAACUUUAAACUAAUGCAUUACUACCUUGAUUUAGUGUUGUAUCAUUGGUAGCUUAGUUUCCAGCAGUAUCAGAUGUUACCACUGACAAUGCUGUCUUAGCCAUCAGCCUUUCAGCCAGUGAUUUCCUUACGUUUAAAAUGCAUUGGUACAGAAGCAACACUCUGUACCAAGCCAGCUCUCCAAAACCUCAGCAAAAGCAGUCAGCCUCUUUUUUGUUUCUUCCAAAAGAACAAAUUCGAUCAGUUUUGUUAAUUACACUGAACUUUGGUUAUGUAUAAUAACACUGUAAACAGUGGGCCCAGUUCACAAUCAAGUAACAUGAACUCUGUAUUAAGGUCAUGAGAAAGUACUGUUUAAAGAAAAAAAAGAUUGCUACAUUGUCAUCCUGCAGCACCAAACACAAUUCUUUUUCAAGAAUGGUCUUUUUCAAUUACAGCACUCUUUUUCAGCUUGAAUCAGGACAGGUCAUCUGUUUUCCUACUAAAUGUAGAUGAUUUACGUUUUCAAAAGUAUCAAAACAUACUGACAUAGUGGUUUGCAGCAGGGUCAAUAGCCACAUUUACAGACUCAGUUUUUUUAUUUUUUAAUAAAUAAACAUUAAUUACACAGGUAUUGCUGUGAACCAAGCCCAUUGUCUAAAGGAAGCACAUUUCUUGCCAAAUUAAAAAUCUUUACAUAAGAACAUGUUUUUAUAAUGGAUUUGAAUAGCUGCUGUGUAAAUUAUUAAAUUCAUGUGUCUUCCUGCUUGCACUUUGUACCAACACAAAAAAGUGAAUAAACAUGCAGUAAAAUGUAGCAACGUUUAGAAAAUAAUGUGUAAAAAAACCAUUCAGUAUCUUAUAUUAAAGCAUUUACACUGCAUAGGCAUUCAUAUAAGGAUAUAGUAUAAUAAAACUUAUCAAAUAUACAAGCAUGCAGCAGUUGCCUUAUAUUCACAGUUCUAGAAAUGACCACACAUUGAUUUCCUCAAAUAUAAAUUGGAUUAUCCAAAAUAGAUUUUGCAGCCACUCUCCUUUGCAGUGGCAAACUAUGUUCUUGUGUGCAUUGCAGAUACUGACCUAUAUAACAGGCCUAAGCUAUGCUGCUGUAUUGUACAUAUCUGUGAUAAAUACUGUGUUUUGGAAUAGGAAGGAUAAUGAGAAGUUAUCCAUACUUCUCAUAGCAGAACUUGGAGACUACACAGUGCUUGAAUUGAACAAAAUAUAUAAGCAUAUUAAUUGUAUUCUCCUUAGAGAGUAACACUGUAACCUUGCCACAUAUCUAGCUACUGCAUAAGCUGGCCAUGCAGUUUUCAAAAUAUGUUUAGACAGAUUUUUCUAUUUGAUAUUUAUUCCAUCAGAAGAGGUAUAGUAGUAAACUUAUAUAGUACAUACCCUUUUUGCUCUGCAAACUAUAAAGGACUCCUGCUACUUUUAGAUUGUGUAGGAAAAUACAAUGCAGUGCCAAAGUCACAGUCAGAGAUUUAAAAUUUGUUUGCAGAGAGAUCUUCUUUCUUCAUUUGUUGUUUUGAAGGUGGUGUUGUUAUAUACAAUGGUGAGUUUGGACCAUUUUAACAAUCACAAGAUGACAGUACCCAGAUUAGACCCCUUGUGUGGCUGAAUGCCACCUGGAGGAUAAAGUUGAGGUUAUGCGGCUUGAAGUUGUCUGUGGUUUUGACCUGCUUGUUAUUGCCUAGCUUGGCAGGUUAACCUGGCAUGUGACUCCAGGACAACAGCAAGCAAAAUACCUGGAGGCAAGGCUUGUGUUAGUUGUGCAAGGUUUGCAAAAUUGAGCUCCUACAUCCUGAUACAGGUUUUGGAUGUGCCAAGGUGAAAUCGGAUUGAGGAGUAUGACAUCAAACCCUUUCCCCACCCAGAUAUUUUUCCAGUAGUGCCUGCAUUCUGCUUUUGCCCUGAAUUCCCUUGUCUUCCUACACAGUAAUUUGUGUGUCUUAAAACAUUGUGUGCGUGCACUUCCUUCUUCUUAGCACUUCAGGUAAAGCUAGUGGAAGUAACCUCGUAGGAUGUUACAGCACCAACAAUCCAAGUUGCAGGGAUUCAUCCCUGUGUACAAAGCAGCAAGGGAUUCAGAAACAGCAUGUAGGAAAUAGCUUGAAAAGGGAAAAGACAGAUGAGGAAGAGAUGACAGAAACAUUUGUUAAUGGAAAAGUGGAGCAUGGAAAAGGAAGAGCUAAUUGGGGCAGUGGUUGCUGUUCUCUCUGUUAAAAAAAAAAAAGGUAUAAUCCUCUCUGGAAUGUUUCAUUCAGAGAGAAACAUUGCCCUUUGUUUUUUUAAAAAAGUGAGCUUUGGCACCCAUGCAAUGUGGGAAUGAAAAGGUGUGUGCUAUCAGGGAUGGUGAUGUUGAUGUACUUCUGUGCUGCAGCCAGGAGUUCACUUUUGUUAUUCGUUAUUCUGAAUCACUUUGUGUGAAUAUUCCUAUUCUCUGGUGAAGGAUAUGUAGCCCUUUCCAUAAAGCUGUACUAUUUCCUGUCAGUCUUAAGAGUAAGACAGCAGUGUGUCAUUGUGCUAGAGAUGUUCCAAGCUCUCCUGGCAUAGAUAUUCAUUUUCUCCUUGAUGAUAUGUCUCUGUAUGUAUGUGUGUGAGGAGCCUCAACUCUGCAUUUGGAAUCUGAUACAAGGACAUUUGGAAUCUGAUACAAGGACAUUUGGAAUCUGAGCUGGAUAUGGGGGCAUCUGAAUACUUUUACUGUAUCAACUACCACUUGGAAAAUGGGCUUACAGUUUAUUUUAGUUGGCUUACUUGCCACCACAGAUGUUGCUUUUCUGCGUUUCUCCAGAUUUGUUCGCUAAGAUCUCUGUGGUGACACCUGAAGACGCAAAUGCUGUGAGAAGUGUCUAUUUUUUAAUGAUUAUUUGGCAGUAAGGGCUGUAUAAAUAUACACAGAAUCCCAUUUUUUUGCCUAACUUUUAAGCUCUAUACAGACAGAUGGACAUAAGACUUUGAAUGCUGAAACCUUUGUACAGCAUAUCAAAAGUAGUGGUUCAUUGAUUCUUCACUGUAUCUCUGUCAUAUUGAGAGCUGCAGUUUAGAUGUGGGGACUGUCCUGUCUACAAGAGUAUUUUGGUUUAUAAAUUUCAGUUUCAUUCAUCUGAGAUACUGCAUUAGCCUCUUAUUCAUUUUCCAAUUAUCUUUUUUUUUAAUGUUGAAAAAAAUGAGAAUGCCUUGUGGUUUUGAUUCUGAUUUCUUAUGUAAUUUAAUAUUUGUACUAAAUUCUUUGGUGAAGAAGGUCCUCAGUGGACCUGCCAUUCAUUUUGUCUUUCCACAGGGAAAAUUCUUAUAAUCUAGUUUAGAAUUGUCUUUGAAGACUCUGGAGACUGUUAAAAGCAGAUGUGACAGCUGUCUUGAGUAUAGUGAGAAGGAGGAAAAGGAACUCUCCUGAGAAGUCUGAUAGUUUGCCACAAAGAAGUUGGUACUAAGCUGAGUCCAAAGUUCCCACAGGCAAUGACAAGUGUAAACCUGGACUGAGUUACUGAAGAAGUAGGAGACGGUAAGAGGACAAGUUAGAUGAGGAGAACAGCCCUCUGAUCUUUACAAAGAUACAGCUGUCACUUCCAGAAGCAUCCUACUUUUCUGUCAAGUUUCAAGAAAAACACUGAAUAUUGAAUACUGAAUUUGUCAUUUGAGGAAAUACAAAUAAGCAGUGCUUGUGUAGUAAUUUAAGAGACUGUUUGGACGUAAUUGAAUAUUGAGCACAUCCACUUGAAAAUAUUAGUUAGCAAGUCAGUCAAUAAAAUGUUGGUCCACACACUUCCAUUUGAAGAGCUUCUUGCUUAAACAACGCUACGUAUAUUGGUGCUUGCCUUUAAUCUUUAACAGAAGGAUUCCUUCCACAUGAAAUUCCCCAUUAAUUCCCUCAAAGUUACAUUCGAAAAUAAUUCCAGGUUCUUUCACUUAUAAAAUUUAAAUAGUUAUCACUUUUGGGGGGAAUUCCUUUCCUCAUUUGAGUGUGAUUAAUUUGUAAAGUUUGAUUGCCUGAUACUUGUGCUUAGUUUUCAUGAUUUUAUUAGUUCAGAAGUUCAGAAUGGUGUCUGUCUGACGACUAUAUUUGUACAUUAAAAGAACAUAUGCAAAGGCCGCAUGUGAUGUGCAAUUUGCAGGCAUGUGCUGUGUUGUAAAUCCUUGCUUAUAUUACACUAGGAAUUUGUAAUGUACAAGGAAGAGCCCUGUUUCAAAUACUGCCUUACUACUUAGUACCUGCUACAUAGACAUCGAUGGGCUUUUAUUCAUGCUUCUUUUAUUCUGUUAAGCGUAGGUUAGUAGUUGUUAAAGAUUCCCUCCUCAGUCUGAAAACAGUCAUGGGAGUUCACUCAUAUAAAGAUGAGCAAGGCGGAUGCAUAAGAAAUACAGGAUUUUGCAGGGAAAGGAACAAAAUAAGAAUGCAGCCCAGAGCUUUUAGGCCAGCACCCAGUCCAUUAACUCAGGCUGAUCCAAGUUAGUUUGUCUCUAGCUCUUUUUGCCCCUUUCUCUCUAGCCUUACUACAUUUUAUGCUGCUGCAGGAGGGAUGAACAUCACUAUGUGAGAUGCAAUGCCCACAAUGUGCUCACACAACACCAUUGCAAUACAUGUAAUUUGUAUUGUUCACGUUUGUGGCCGUGCAACAUAAAAGAACACAAAAUAAUCCUCCGGAAUGCUGCAGUUGCCAGCCAUUUUAUUAUAUUUUAUGUUCUUAAAGGGGAAAUGAUCAUGUUCAUUUUACAGGAUUUAAAAGAAUUUUUGAGUCUUCCUGUAAAAUUGCAGUGUAGAAUUUGUUGUGAACAAAACAGAGCUGACUCCCUUACUAUAGCAGAAUAAUUUGCAGCCAGAAUUCAAUUAUGGUCUUAAAAUCUGAUUUUAAUUCAGAAAUAGGCUGCAGUAGCUUCAUUUUUGUCCUGCAUGUUUUUUGAAUUUUAGGAAAAACCUAACUUUAGCAUAUUAAUGCAGUUGUAUCAUAUGAAUAUGGAAUAUAAAUGUGUUUUCAUGAAAGCCCAAUUUAAGUUACUGUGUUGAACCAUUCAAUACAGCUGGAUUCUUCAUUCAGAGUCUCUGUAAAUUCAUGAUCACAAGAUAACUUAAACACACAAUUCUCACAGAUUUUUUCUUUGAAGCCCUUGCAGAACUAAUCUAAACAGGAGGUGCAACAGAAAGCUCCACUUCAUUAUAAGACUGGAGUUUAUCUAUUGACUUCAGCAUCCACAGAGCGUAAAGCACAUGAGUUCUUUUUUUCUUGUCUAAACUAUUUUGAAUGAGGUCUCUUUUACAUGCUAGUUUGGCAAGCUUCUAAGGCAUUUGUGCAAAGUGAUGAUGCAAGAGCAACCUGAUUCAAUACUGAGAAAUUCAUAAAUAACAUCCAGCAGUAAUUAAAGUGAAAAACUACAGCUAAGAAAAGCAAUUAUCCUACAGAAUCACUUGAGCUACUAUACCCUGCAGUGUUAAAAGUGGAGUAUGUUUACUGGUGCCUUGAACUCAGGAGGUAUCAUUGUGAAUUUCAAACAUACCAAGGAUUCAUUCUGGGUUUUUUACAUAGAUUGCAUUGGAAUAACAGUGACUAAAAAAAUGAUGAUUUUAUAUAUAUAUAUAUAUAUAUAUAUAUAUAUGUAGAGAAAGGGUAAGAGUGGAAGAAAAAUACAGUGCCAGAAAUUACGGAAUUACGGUCUGGAAACAUACUAUACAUUUAGUCAAUGUUUUUGUAUUAAAAUGAAGAGUUAAUUUUGAAGACCAAAAUGGUUUUAAGAUAACUAGUGCACUCUAUAAGGUCAUUCUCAGGAGUGAAGUGCAUGAUAAUGCAAGAUAGGGAUAUUUAGGACUUCAGUUUGAAGAACCGGAAUAGCCAGCUGAUGUCUUUACCAUCUUGAUAAGAAAGCCUACGCUAUUUUCACAAAGUACACACCAAAGUCACAAAAAAACCCCUAUAAUUUCUUUGUCUGGAUUUCUCCGUAGAUGGAGAAUGGCAUGGCAUGUAACACAGAGCUUAGCUGUUCAAUUUUUAUGUAGUAGAAUUUAGAUAUCUAGUAGUAUAGUGAAUAAUGGGUAGGUCUUAAAAGUAGUAUUCUGAGGCUUUUCUACUUGUUUCUUAAGUUCUCCCCUGAACUACCAGCAGAGCCUGAAUUUACUGGGAGGAACACCUGGCCCUGUAUGGUGUAAAAUGUAAAUCUGUUCCUGUAAGGGUACCGCUACAGCCAUUAUGCACAUAAUCUAUGCCUUUCUGGUCUUCAAAGAGAAGGUGAGAGUAGUUGUGGAUACUAGUUCAUACUUCAGGCAGAAAAAAGUGGUGGCUGGCACAAAGCAACUUGAGACUUAACGUGCAAGAUCUGUAAAGUAGCCACUAUGUGGUUGUACUUCUACCUGUGCUUACAGGAAUUUCUGUGGUUAUGGUUUUAAUAUCAGCCAGGUGUUGGUGGAAUUCAGAUUUCAGUUUUAUACCUUGGCAGGACAGAAUAAUUCAACUGUGUUGUAGAUAAAUUGAUAAUGAAGCCAAGAGUAAUUUGUGAAAUUCAGUUCUAGAGCUGGGAUUGGAUAAAAAUGCUCUGGUUUAGAUGUGCUUGUGGUUUGGAUGAACAUCUCGCAAUCAGUUUUUGUCUUUUUGUGACUCUAGUUUUAGGUACUAAACUGUAAACAUCACAAUAUCUAGUCUUCUUACUUAAGAAGUUUGCUGUAUGCCUUAGUACUAGAUACAAGAUCUUUAGCAGGACUUCAUGUGAGGAACAGUUAAACAAAAGCUUGUAUAAAUAAGGCACUAGUAAAUGUUUGCAGCAAACAACAAUUACAGUCUAUAUUCUUUAAGAAUAAAACUGUUCUAUUUAGGAAAUGCCUUUAAUAUGACAAUUACCAAUGCCAGUUAGAAGGGGACUAGAGAAAGUGCAUCUUUUGGAUUAUGCCUGUGAAGUCUGCAAGAAACCACUGUAUGCAAAUCUCCAUCAAGUUUGGAAACAGCCUGUGCAAUGGUGAUACUCAGGAGAACUGAAGCAAGAGGAAACUAGUUUAGAUUCUGAUCCCUGCUAAACUAGUGUGAAAUCACUGUAAUGGAUUUGCUCCAGAUUUAUUACAGUGGUAGAAGGAUCUGAAGCCAGAAUCGAGGCUGUUGUGGCAAAUCUAGUUAAGCAGUAACAGCACUGACACAAACAAAGUAAUUGGCUAUAAUCCUCUUAAAAGUUUCAAAAAAGAAUCUGAUAUAUUAAAUUUCCUAUUUGCUGAAGUCCAAGGAUGCACUUUGUCUUUUGGCUAAUGUAAUAGAACAAAAUUUUCUGUACUACUUUGGAGGUGAUGCCAUUCUAAACAGUUACUAAAGUAUCAAUCCAUAUUUUAUAUCAAAUGAAAUUCGAGUCUGCCAGUCUGCUUGUAAGAUGGCUAAUGGGUAUUUCACAUUAAAAGUUGUUCAAAAACACCCAAACUCUUCCAUUACUAAAACCAAAACAUACUACCACUUUUAUGUAUCAUCUCUUUGAGGGGGGUCAUUGAAGCACCAAGAAUUUGUUUAUCAAGCCAAUAAGAAUGCAUUUGUAAAUUAAUGGAUCUUGUUAGUAUUCAUGAUUGUAUUUCUCCAGGAUCUCUCCAUCUGAACCAUUCAUUUGGUAUACUAAAUCAAUCAGGGGUAACUCCACAGCCUGAUUUCAUUACUAAAUCCUGCUUUGUAAACAUAUAGCUUAGCUUUAUCAUCUGACAAAUUUCUGUUCCACUAAGAUCCUCCAUUAUUUAUACAAGAUGUCAUUUAAAAAACCUAACACAUUUCCAGUAUUCAUAAUGCAAGAGGGGAAAAAACCCUACAUUGAUUCAUUCUUGUAUAUUAUUGCCAUUAGGUGCUACGAUUAACAACUCCAGACAGUGGGGUUUUUUGUUUGCUUAAAUUAUUUUCUGUUUUAUGUAAGGAUGUUGUACUAAGUUUAUCUGAAGCUUUAAAAUCACCCAUCCAUGGGCAUCUCAGAAACUGUACAACUAUCUCAACUGGAUUUUAAAAAUGUGGUGGGCUUUUUGAUUGUUCAUUUUGUUUUGUUUUUUUCACGUUUGACUCAUAAGACUAAAUUUAUUGGUGGUAUAACUUGGCUGAAAUUUUCACCAUAAAUUAAUCUAGACUAAUAUUAAUUCCUUAAACAAAUAAAAAACCCCAGAACAAGUAAGUUAAGUGCUGAGGAUCUCUCUCCCACACUUGCUAUGCAUACUCUUAAGUUAUAUACAGAAGGAAGAAAAUCCAGAAAUUUCUCUUCACAAAGAUCUUUACUCAUAGCAACUCAGGAAAACUUUUUCAUUUAAAAUAUUUCUUUCUUAUAAGAAUGCCAGAAUAUAAACUUUUCUAGGUGUGUUAGACUAAUACAUGGCAUGUGUUUAUCUGAAUACCAGAAAAUGUUAUUGUGUAUUACAGCUGUGCAAAAUAUUUUCUGUAAAAGUUGACAACUUCAAAAAUUUUUUUCUUUUAUCAUUGUUUUCAAUAAGAUGAUGUAAAUCUUUGUGAUUGCAAAAGAAACAAACAUUCUUUGUCAAAAGUGUGCCUUUUGAGGUCAUAAUUAGUUUUGUGGGGUGUCUCCAGCUGACAAUCUGAAUUUGCAUAUGUUGCCUAAUUAGAAUUUCCUAAGCUGUGCUCACUAUAAAAUAAAUUUGAAUUUUUUACCUUGUAAGUAAAACCUAUAUUUUGAAAAUCAAGGUAGAUUUUUAACUUCUUCUUAAGAUUAAAAUAAUACAUUGGAACAUGGUUGGUUUUUCUUCUCUUUUUGCCCACUGCUUUCAAACUGUGCUUUCAGUAGGUGAGAAAGAAAAGUUGUCAUUUUGAAAAAGGUUCUGUGAAUAUUUAACAAAAUGCAGAAUGCAGUUUGCUUUCAUAGCUGUUUUUCUUCAGUGGAAGUAGAAUGAACAUUUUUAUGCUGAAAUUACGAUAUUACAUCUCUGAGUGGAGAAAAAUCUGUUGUCAAACAUUUAUGUGUAUUUCUUUAAAGAGCAAAGUCACACUUUUACAGAACUUCUCAGUUGCUUUUUGGUGCGAGUUGUGAUUGUAGAGGCACACUAUUGACAUCAACUGAAACUGUGGCCUAAAUGAAGGCAUCAUUUUUCUGUCCAUGCAGAUGUAUUUAUCUAUAUGGAUGAUAUUUUAACAAAAAAAGCCACUUCAGAAAUUUUAUUUUUUUUUAACUAAAAGUUAGAAGACACUUCCAGGUGUAAAAAUCAAACCAAAUUUCUAUAUGAUCAUUUAACAACAAUUAUUGCAUGAUUUUGCAUAAGCCUUGACCUUUCUAAAAAACGCAGUAUUUGAUCUUUAGAUGUGCAUUGGUUUGAUAAUAAGUCAUCACACAACUGCUGACUCACAUUUUAAUUUAGGGAAGAAAUUUUCUUGAGAUUACAAAAAAAUAAAAAAAAACAGUCCUAGGUCUUUGCUAUUAAUCCAGAGAUUUUAAUUUUUAGAUGAAAUGCAUGUAAUUGGAAAUAACUAUUAUGCUGAAAGGAAUCCACAUUAUUUUGAUACAAAAUCCAUUUAUCUGAGAGGCUUUAGGGAAUGUAACAAAUUUGAUCAGGCCAAUCCCAAUCCCUCAAAACCUUCUCAUUCUGUUAGGAGAUGAAUGAAUUACCAGUCCUAACUCUAAUGUAUUUUAAGGCUAGUUAGAAGACAUGGAAUAGUGAUACUAAAACUAAAUGCUUGAGACUAGGAAGUAUUUGCAUGACUAGGUAGUUAUUUAAAAGGAAUGAUUUAAAUGGGUGAAAAUUUGCUUAUUCCUUUAUAUUUUCUAAUACAGUAAACCUACCAUCUAUUUGUAUGUCAAUAAUAACUGAUCUUAGAAUGCCAUUUCAUAGCUUGAAUCUUCAUUUUGCCUCAAGGUUUGUUCUAGCCAGGUUGGCAAUUAGGGAAAGUCCUAAAACAGAAACAUUGAUACAUGCUGUUAAAUUCAAAUGCAGAACAUUAAAAUUAACAUGGAAGCGGAAAUGACAUUCAGUGUCAGAAGUAACAAAUUUGAACGUCUUAAAUAAUUCAAUAUAGAGAAUAUAGUUUAGACAGUUUUAAUAUAAGUGUGCUUUUUCCUAAAAACACCCCCCCGACCAAACUUUUUUUUUUUUUGCUUUUUAAGUCUUUUGUCUGUAAAUAUGAAAGAAGGCUACACCCCAACGUAAUUCUUCAUUGCCAUACUAAACAGUAAAAUAGUCUUUCUAAUUCACAUUGCUCAUGGCAGUCUUAUUUGAAGUUCCUUUAUUAAGUUUGUGAUUAAAGCAGUUUGGGAUUUUUGUUGGUUGUAAACUUUUGGCAUAAUGUGAAUACCAGUCCCUUUCAAAAACAGCCUUGAGUUGCUUAAUGAUGCUUGUGCUGUUCCCCGCGUCUGCUUGGUUGAUAACAAGGCCAGCUCCAGCAUUCUGCGUGAAAGCAUUUCCUACCCAAUCAAAAUUACCUACAAGUAAAGGCAGGAAUAUACAAUGAGUUUCUAACAUUAAAAACAAAGAACCAAACAAAAAAACACAUCUCCCUAAAGGCAAUCCAGCAUGAAACACUAUCAGUUCCCCAGGGCAGAGACAGAAAUGAGCUUUUUAUACUAACAGGAAAGAAAAAACUCCAUUACAAUACCUUGCAUAGUGAAGGUUGUUUCUGGAAGUUUAACAGCCUUCAUAAGAGAAAAGCCUUCAUAAGAGAAAACAGGUUCUUCUAUUUAUUCAAAACUAAUUUGUUCUUCUUUUUGCAUAUAUUGUAUUAUUACUCCAUUUACUUUCCUCAUCAGCCUUUUCAGUGCCAAGAAUGAAUUUUUUUUUUGCUGUAUAAACAAUUUAAAGUUCCGAACCAAUAGAUCUUUUACAGGUUACCCACUGAUAGAUACUAUUUCAGGAAAGAAAAAUCGGAGUUACAUUUUUAUGUCAGUUAUUACCACCUAUGUUGAAAUCUAAGGUAACAAAUGAGCACUUCAAAUCCUGGUGAUAGCGAGGCAAAGAGGAUAAUUGGACUAAUGGAAAACUAACUGUUGCAGUUACUUCUUUUUAUUUCACUAGAACUGUAAGUAUUUUAAAUUAUAUAUGUAAAACACAUGCAGUAUUUUGGAGAAACAAUGCUGUUAACUAGAGAUCAUAUUUUAAAAUAGUGCCUGAGCAUACAUAAAACAUGAAGGUAUCUGAGAAAUUUAUACCCUUUUUUCAGCAUUAUUUCAGCUACUUCAGCAGAAAAUGCUAAGAAUUCUAAAGUUGUCAAGGAUGGUAAAUUGAAGCCUCAUUAUAAGAGAUUUUUUUUCUGUGAUUUCAAGUAAAAGAUAUAUCAGGUUCUUAGCAUGCAUUUGUACUACUUUCACAAAGCUUUGAUAAUUCCUUUUUUUUAUUUAUCUGCAGCUAAGAAUGCAAGGACAACGGGAAAGAAAAAACCCAAUUUGGCUAAGAAUUCAUGUUGUGUAGAUGAGUUCCAAGGUACAGAGAUUUGAUCUGUCUGUGUGAAGGGAUUUAAAAUGGAGUGGAAAAAUAAUGUUGGGGGGGGCUCAUAAAACCUUUGGGAGAUGAGAGAGGAAUGAGCUACAGUAUUUGCAGUCAAAAUUAAGAUUUGGAUAGGUUAAAAUAGGUGUAUGUGUUUAAAGCCCAUCAAGGUGGGCUUUCCAGAGUAGAUUUUAGUUGUAUCUCUAUACAACUUGCUGGUGUGUGCAUGGGCCGUGCUUCUGGGUUGCAGCCUUUGCCCUUCCCCACUGCCUCUGCCAUCAUGGGCUAUGAGAGCUUUGCAGUGAGUCAGUAAGUAAGAUCCCUAAAGCAUCAAGCUGCAGCAUAUCAGAAUGCAUGUUUUCUCCCCUGGCUUUUUAAAAUGUUAUGAGUUGCUUUGUAAUUCAAUAAUGGUUUUCUCAUCCUGUGAGCUUAUGUACAACUCAGAUUUUUUAAAAGGUAGUUUUCAGCCUGCAUUCAGUGAGCAUUUGACUGGUAACGAACUUUUACUAGGUGCCAUAGAGCAACUUUACUUAAAUACACCUUUAGCCCAAAAUACCAGUUACACGUGUACCUAAUGUUAGGAGGGUGUCUGAAAUGCCAUUAUAGGAAAUGCAAUAAGACUUCACAAGAUGAGGAUGAAAGGCAUCUGUACAGUAUUUACCAGGAUUGACCACAGUAAUAACAUGGGAAAUGGAGAACAGUCCAUCUUCACUGGAUUGCAGAAACAAGAGAAUAUGCUAAUAAUCCAAGUUGUUCCUGCUUCAUAAAUGGUGUUAUAUUUGUGUUUUCGGUCUGUUUUAAAAUACUGAAAGCAGAAUGUGUGUUUUGAGAAACUGAUUCAUAGGGGAAGAAAAGUUUUUAAAUGGGAAGAGGCCUAAAGCUCAGUCUUCAUCCAGGUUCCCAAAGGAAUGAUCUGUUAACAAAUAUAUCAGCUGUGGAUUGCUCAUCUACAAAGGGGUGUUAUUUCAGGCUUUUGGAUACUAACUAGAAUUUCUUGAGAUGUGGUUACGUACCGAUAUAUGCAGCUCCAUCGGUCACCAUAUAUUUGUUACGAUUUAAUUUGGGAAGGGAAGCGUUCUUCUGUUCUUUAAGAAAGCAUGCACUCUCUUCCUCAAGGUCAAAGAAUUUCUGCCAUAAAACAGAAUGGAGCACAGGUUAAUGAGCAUUGCUCUAUAAGAGACAGAAAAAGCAUGGCUUGUUCUCUAAUUUUUAUUGAAAAUGAGUUAGUGCUACAGAACAGCUUGAGUUUUUAUAGCCAACCGUUAAUUUUAUAAAACACUGCACACUGUAUUUCUUAGUAAAUUCUCACAGGUUAUGAUACUCUUGCCUUGGCAUUCUAAACUAUACAAAGUAUAUGGCUACUGCAUGCCAAAAGAAAUACAGUGCCAGGUAGUAAAGGCAGUGAAAUGAACAA
Long non-coding RNA from Pseudopipra pipra, 17004 nucleotides. RefSeq lists it as uncharacterized. The record is from RefSeq and is a predicted model, not a curated record. The transcript is spliced from 2 exons. Lineage: Eukaryota; Metazoa; Chordata; Aves; Passeriformes; Pipridae.